Long non-coding RNA from Esox lucius (northern pike), 4446 nucleotides. Lineage: Eukaryota; Metazoa; Chordata; Actinopteri; Esociformes; Esocidae. The record is from Ensembl.
CCAACCCACUGAAGCUUUAGUUAUCCCCCAACCCACUGAAGCUUUAGUUAUCCCCCAACCCACUGAAGCUUUAGUUAUCCCCCAACCCACUGAAGCUUUAGUUAUCCCCCAACCCACUGAAGCUUUAGUUAUCCCCCAACCCACUGAAGCUUUAGUUAUCCCCCAACCCAAUGAAGCUUUAGUUAUCCCCCCAACCCACUGAAGCUUUAGUUAUCCCCCAACCCACUGAAGCUUUAGUUAUCCCCCAACCCUCUGAAGCUUUUGUAAUCCCCCCCAACCCACUGAACUUUGGACCCGUAAACCUUCUGUUAACCCUGACACCUGAUUUGGGAGUCUACCCUGACCUCCUACUUGUGAGACAGCCCUGACCCGAGUGACCUUCCACCUCCUCAACCUCCUAACCGCCAAUCCAGAGGGCACUGUAUGUCCUCCUGGGAAGUAGACACAGAUGGAGAGAAUAGAGAAUGGAGUCACGAGAAGGGAAGGUGUUGUUCUUCCUAUUGAAUUUGAGUUAUGAUGGGUGAAUUACACUGAACAAAUAUCUUUUUUUUUAUCUGAUUACAGUCCUUAUUGGGAAAUUCCUCACCACCUGAACUUUAACCCCAAUCAACAACUUACUGGUCCUUAACUUGGGACGGAUUUCUCUGUAGUUUUUAUGAUUCACUGCAAUCAUUCCCAACCACUGCUAUGAGAGUGCACAGCAUGCUGUUUGUAACUCAGCUUUUCCCAAAGUGCAUACAUUUCUUUUGACUGAACCACUAAAUGAAGGUUUCCUCUGCAUAACUGACAUAAAACCCCUGCACCUGGAGGGAGGAAUAUGGCAUUGUGAAUAUCCAGAUGCCUGAACACAGAAGAAUAGGCUUUUUGGUAUUGCUCUGUUUAAUGAAGACAAAAAGCCUGACAAGCAUCAAUCACUGACACAGUUAGGUUUUUGUGUUAGUGUUUUGUUGGCAUGUGUUAAUGUGGAAACAUUCCUCCUACCUCCUGCUUGGUGGUGUUGUAUUUAAGUUUUUUGUUUGGCUGUUGUUUUUGCAUUUUUAAGCAUUUCUGUCAAGAGAGGAAGAAUACAUUGUACACAUAAAAUGUACCAAAUGAUUACUAUUGAGCAUCUGCCUUUGUUUCAGCACCUAGGCGGUAUUAGCAGUCAGUCAUGAAACUGCGUCUAUAAUUGUAGUUCUUGUUUUUGGUUAUAACGUGGUAAUGUGACCCUGAAUUAAAGCACAGGGUUUGAACAAGAUAUUGGUACUCGUUAGGUGGAAGAAGGACACAUGUAUGUGAGUUUACGGUACGAUUGUAUGUACUUAUAUCUAAACACACAUGGAUCAUGAAAACAGUGGCUAUUUGAUGGCCAAGGAGAGUUGCCUUUUUAGUAAAGGCCAGACGUCAGUUCACAUUCUGCUGUCAGGGUGCCAAUUUUUUGGAUUUCCAUUGUCAGUUUUAAAUUUUGUCAGUGCCAUUAAUCUGUCUGUUUUUGUUUUUUGUCAGUGCCAUACUCAGAUGUUUUUAUUCUUGUUCGUUGACUUUCCUAACGCUGUCUGGUUGCCUCAUGCCUACAUUCCACUAUAACUGAGUAAUAUUUAAACUGGAGUAAGCAUCUGUAGAGAUCAAGUUGGGUCCUGUCUGCUUAAACAUGUCCAGUGUGAAUAAUAAUUUCCUUUGAAAACAGUUUCAACUACAGCCCCUUCUAAACCAGACAUUUACCUACAUGUUUUUAAAAUGUUACCAACUGUCUUGAAACAUUUCAAUAUUUUGUGGUAAUAGUCAUUUUUGCUAUGAAGGAUGCCUGACAAUUGUGAGCCCACAUUUACAUUGGGGUUGUGCUACAAUCAUGUGAAAAAAUAUGUACACCCCCCUUUUUUGGACACAUUGAUAUUUGAGCUAAAUUCAUUGAGGUAAUCAAAUUUAACAAAUCACACAAAAAUCAACUUCGAAACCAUUUAUGGAAAAAAAUAAAAAUAAAUGCUAUUAACCUAUCUGGAACAAGUUAGUACAUCCCUACUUUUACCAUCACAUAAAAUCACAAAAAUUAGAAUAAUGUGCACCAAAACAGGUGUAAAUGAUUUAAAGAAUCAUAAGAGAGUAAUUUGGGAAGUAUCAAUCUUCCAUGAUGUUGUCUGGUUUAGUCUUUACCAGUGUGUCUGGUAACACAUUCAUGCCAAGAUUUAAAAAAGAAAUCCAAGGUCCUCAGAAGAACAUUAUUGAUGCCUUUAAGUCUGGGAUGGGUUACAAAGCCAUUUACAAGCAAUUCGAAGUACAUUAUUACACUGUCAGAUGGAUAACCUACAAAUUGCGAAAAUGCCAUACCACAGGGAAUCUAGGAUGCCCAAAACCAGACCAAAAGAUGCUAAUAGAAAUCUCUAAACAGAUCUGGAAGGAAGAAGCCUCCAAGCUCAAAAAAUUAUUUUAAUUAAUAACUGACUUGCCAGACAACAAAAACCAAAACAUGGAUCUUGAAACAGGUCAAUGCCCCCUAACUCACAAGCUAAGCUGCAACAGAAGGGCUAGAAAAUAAGAAAUUAAGGGUUAUGGAAUGACUGAGUGAAAGCCCAGAUCUCAAUCCUAUCGAAUGCUAUGGGGAGCUUGAUUUGGACCAUGCAUGCAAAAAUCCAUUGAACAUGACACAAGCAGGACUGCAAUCAAUACUGGGGGAAAAUUCCUCUUAGUCAACUGUAAGAGACCUGAUGGACAGUUACAAGAAACGGCUACAUGCAGUUUAUUUGUCAGUAGCUGUAUAAGAUUCCCAUGUCCAAAUAUGGGGGGGAAAUUAUUGGGGCAGUGAACUUUUUCACAUGACUGUAUUUCAGCUAUUUUUUUUUUUGUGUAGGCAGCUGAAAUUACAUUCUUAUAUUUGUUGUCAGUUCUGAUAAGAACCAUUUAGUUAUUUCUCAUUUUAUAUUGUUAUUUUAGAUGGACUAAUGGAGCAAAAAGAUUGUAAAAUAAUAAGCAACCACUGUCAAGGCCAUCUGUCUUCGCAAUCUGUUUUAGACAAGAGACUUCUAGAAGAAGCUGCUUGAUUUUAGAAUGCAGUGGUGGAGCUUGGCUGAUUUGGGGAAUGAGCUGUAAAUGUAUUGUUCAAUUACUAAGUGGUGAUUACUGUUAGGUAAUUUCUAAUCUACCACGAGAAGUGACAAUGGUACUUGCUACACCGCUGUGCCAAAUCAUUUAACAACAUACACUUAAGAUUAGUAUGAAAAUGUUUAGGUGUACCAUUUAAAAUGGCCUGAAAUUAGUGAUUAGAACAAUGGCCUGAAAUGAGUGGUUAGAACAAUGGCCUGAAAUGAGUGGUUAGAACAAUGGGCUGGUGAAGAGAGAAUUGAAUAAAGUGCACUGCAAUUGCACUGAGUAAUUAAUGUUACUUAAGUUACUGAGGAAAAUAUUCCACUGUAUAAAUGCAAAUUGUUCAAAAGACCUCUGCAAGUGGAGAAAUCUUUAGUUUCAGCAAACAAUGUUCAUUUUGGAUUAUUACUAUAAGUGAAAAAGAUAUGGCAAUAUUUAAGAAAUGGCAAUAUUUGUCUUUCAACUAUUCCUUUAUAAAAUGUUAUUUAGCACUUUUGCAUAUAAAUAGGCCUUGGUUCAGCUUUUCAACUAACUGCAAAUUUCAAAAUAGUGGUCAACUCUACAUUUCAUAGCAGGUUUUAACAUAAUACAUAUGUUUCCAAUAGAUAUUAAAUUCAGUAAAUGAUUUAGGAACAUAACUGUACAACUUUCUGUUGGGGACCAAAAAGCCAAACUGACAUUAAUGUUAAUUGUUCUCCAGCAGUUGGAAAACAGGAAGGUAUAACUGAAAUAUUGAACUUUUGUGUACAUUUUGACAUUUUGAGUGUAAAAAAUGAACACCAUAUUCUUAACCUGUAAGUGGACUUAUGCUGAGCUUAUCUCAAACACUGUAUGGGGUUGUAAAACAUAAAACUUUAUUAUGUACUUGGACCGUUCAGAAACAGACAGUCAAAGAUAAGUGUUAUUUAUUUUUUCCUUAAGAGAAAAUAUUUUCAAGAAGCUGUAUAUAAGUCUGUUUGUUUUGCCCAAUUUUUCCUUGUAUGGAGUCCUUUAUGUUUUUGGCAUUAUAUGGGUCGUUAAAAUAAAUCUUGUCAAAGGGAUGCAUUGAUAAUAAAAACAUAAAUCAACCACUCAUCUCUAUGUCAGUGCAUGUAGCUGUGUAAAUAUAUAAAUAUCUUAUUUUGGUGUAGAGUUGAUGGAUUGUCCAAAACCAUUAUUCAUCCUAAACCAGGUAGGGGUUCAUUAAAACCUGGAAUAUUUAUGAAGUUUCUUAAUGGUUUUCUUAGGUUAUAUUUUUUACAGUAUAUCAUGUGACCAUAAACUUGAAAUUCUGAACUGCAGAAGUGUACCUGUAAGGGAUGUGACUUACAUUGGGUAUAGAAAGUCAAAAACUUUCACCUUUCAAAACUUUUGUGGCCUUACAACCAGAAAUAAAAACCCAUAAAAUCA